This 388-nucleotide ribosomal RNA is filed under the name uncultured bacterium. RNAcentral describes it as "bacterial SSU rRNA". It matches the Rfam family "Bacterial small subunit ribosomal RNA", at positions 29 to 419 of the family's 1533-position model. The record is from RNAcentral.
AUUGAACGCUGGCGGCGUGCCUAACACAUGCAAGUCGAGCGGUAACAGGUGUAGCAAUACAUGCUGACGAGCGGCGGACGGGUGAGUAACGCUUGGGAAUCUGCCUGUUAGUGGGGGACAACCCGGGGAACUCGGGCUAAUACCGCAUACGCACUACGGUGGAAAGCCGGGACCGCAAGGCCUGGCGCUAACAGAUGAGCCCAAGUCGGAUUAGCUAGUUGGUAGGGUAACGGCCACCAAGGCGACGAUCCGUAACUGGUCUGAGAGGACGACCAGUCACACCGGAACUGAGACACGGUCCGGACUCCUACGGGAGGCAGCAGUGGGGAAUAUUGGACAAUGGGCGAAAGCCUGAUCCAGCGACGCCGCGUGGGUGAAGAAGGCCUGC